GAUGAAGAACGCAGCGAAAUGCGAUAAGUAAUGUGAAUUGCAGAAUUCAGUGAAUCAUCGAAUCUUUGAACGCACAUUGCGCCCGCUAGUAUUCUGGCGGGCAUGCCUGUUCGAGCGUCAUUUCAACCAUCAAGCCCCCGGCUUGUGUUGGGGACCUGCGGCUGCCGCAGGCCCUGAAAACCAGUGGCGGGCUCGCUAGUCACUCCGAGCGUAGUAAUACAUCUCGCUCAGGGCGUGCUGCGGGUUCCGGCCGUUAAAAAGCCUUAUUUACCCAAGGUUGACCUCGGAUCAGGUAGGAAGACCCGCUGAACUUAAGCAUAUCAAUAAGCGGAGGA
Molecule: unclassified non-coding RNA, 335 nt
Filed under: soil metagenome
Description: partial contains 5.8S ribosomal RNA, internal transcribed spacer 2, and large subunit ribosomal RNA
Rfam family: 5.8S ribosomal RNA (bases 1-120)
Source: RNAcentral